UGGGGAAUAUUGCACAAUGGGCGCAAGCCUGAUGCAGCGACGCAGCGUGAGGGAUGACGGCCUUCGGGUUGUAAACCUCUUUCACCAGGGACGAAGCGCAAGUGACGGUACCUGGAGAAGAAGCACCGGCCAACUACGUGCCAGCAGCCGCGGUAAUACGUAGGGUGCGAGCGUUGUCCGGAAUUACUGGGCGUAAAGAGCUCGUAGGCGGUUUGUCGCGUCGUCUGUGAAAUUCUGCAACUCAAUUGUAGGCGUGCAGGCGAUACGGGCAGACUUGAGUACUACAGGGGAGACUGGAAUUCCUGGUGUAGCGGUGAAAUGCGCAGAUAUCAGGAGGAACACCGGUGGCGAAGGCGGGUCUCUGGGUAGUAACUGACGCUGAGGAGCGAAAGCGUGGGUAGCGAACAGG
RNAcentral lists this ribosomal RNA (409 nucleotides) under Acidobacteriota bacterium. Its description in RNAcentral is "Acidobacteria bacterium partial 16S ribosomal RNA". It matches the Rfam family "Bacterial small subunit ribosomal RNA", at positions 355 to 776 of the family's 1533-position model. Lineage: Bacteria; Pseudomonadati; Acidobacteriota. The record is from RNAcentral.